GAUGAACGCUGGCGGCGUGCCUAAUACAUGCCAGUCGAGCGAACAGACGAGGAGCUUGCUCCUCUGACGUUAGCGGCGGACGGGUGAGUAACACGUGGAUAACCUACCUAUAAGACUGGGAUAACUUCGGGAAACCGGAGCUAAUACCGGAUAAUAUAUUGAACCGCAUGGUUCAAUAGUGAAAGACGGUUUUGCUGUCACUUAUAGAUGGAUCCGCGCCGCAUUAGCUAGUUGGUAAGGUAACGGCUUACCAAGGCAACGAUGCGUAGCCGACCUGAGAGGGUGAUCUGCCACACUGGAACUGAGACACGGUCCAUACUCCUACGGAAGGCAGCAGUAGGGAAUCUUCCGCAAUGGGCGAAAGCUUGACGGAUCAACGCCGCGUGAGUGAUGAAGGUCUUCGGAUCGUAAAACUCUGUUAUUAGGGAAGAACAAAUGUGUAAGUAACUAUGCACGUCUUGACGGUACCUAAUCAGAAAGCCACGGCUAACUACGUG
This 497-nucleotide ribosomal RNA is filed under the name uncultured bacterium. RNAcentral's name for it is "partial 16S ribosomal RNA". It matches the Rfam family "Bacterial small subunit ribosomal RNA", at positions 28 to 507 of the family's 1533-position model. The record is from RNAcentral.